CCCUUAGAUGUUCUGGGCUGCACGCGCGCUACACUGAUGCGAUCAACAAGUUUUUCCUAUGUCGAUAGACACGGGUAAUCUUUUGAACUCGCAUCGUGAUGGGGAUAGAUUAUUGUAAUUAUUAAUCUUCAACGAGGAAUUCCUAGUAGGUGCAAAUCAUCAGUUUGCAUCGAUUACGUCCCUGCCCUUUGUACACACCGCCCGUCGCUGCUACCGAUUGGUUGAUCUGGUGAAUUAUUCUGACUGCCGGCUGAAGGGGUUUCCUCAUCUGCCAGCGGAAAGUCUUGUUAACCCUAUCAACUAGAGGAAGCAGAAGUCGUAACA
RNAcentral lists this ribosomal RNA (324 nucleotides) under uncultured eukaryote. Its description in RNAcentral is "partial 18S ribosomal RNA". It matches the Rfam family "Eukaryotic small subunit ribosomal RNA", at positions 1470 to 1796 of the family's 1831-position model. The record is from RNAcentral.